CCCUUAGAUGUCCGGGGCCGCACGCGCGCUACACUGAAGGAAUCAGCGUGGCUUUCUCCCUGACCCGAAAGGGUUGGGAAACCCGUUGAAUCUCCUUCGUGAUAGGGAUUGGGGCUUGAAAUUGUUCCCCAUGAACGAGGAAUUCCCAGUAAGCGCGAGUCAUAAGCUCGCGUUGAUUACGUCCCUGCCCUUUGUACACACCGCCCGUCGCUCCUACUGAUUGGUAUAUAAGGUAAAAAUCUCGGAGAAGUUGGGAUUUCAUGCAGGUUUACUUGCAUGUGCCUGGCCUCAAAGUUAUUUAAAUCUUCUGUACUAGAGGAAGGAGAAGUCGUAACA
Molecule: ribosomal RNA, 336 nt
Filed under: uncultured eukaryote
Lineage: Eukaryota
Description: partial 18S ribosomal RNA
Rfam family: Eukaryotic small subunit ribosomal RNA
Source: RNAcentral